Molecule: ribosomal RNA, 465 nt
Filed under: Vreelandella stevensii
Lineage: Bacteria; Pseudomonadati; Pseudomonadota; Gammaproteobacteria; Oceanospirillales; Halomonadaceae
Description: partial 16S ribosomal RNA
Rfam family: Bacterial small subunit ribosomal RNA
Source: RNAcentral
CCUACGGGAGGCUGCAGUGGGGAAUAUUGGACAAUGAGGGCAACCCUGAUCCAGCCAUGCCGCGUGUGUGAAGAAGGCCCUCGGGUUGUAAAGCACUUUCAGUGAGGAAGAACGCCUGGUGGUUAAUACCCAUCAGGAAAGACAUCACUCACAGAAGAAGCACCGGCUAACUCCGUGCCAGCAGCCGCGGUAAUACGGAGGGUGCGAGCGUUAAUCGGAAUUACUGGGCGUAAAGCGCGCGUAGGUGGCUUGAUAAGCCGGUUGUGAAAGCCCCGGGCUCAACCUGGGAACGGCAUCCGGAACUGUCAAGCUAGAGUGCAGGAGAGGAAGGUAGAAUUCCCGGUGUAGCGGUGAAAUGCGUAGAGAUCGGGAGGAAUACCAGUGGCGAAGGCGGCCUUCUGGACUGACACUGACACUGAGGUGCGAAAGCGUGGGUAGCAAACAGGAUUAGAUACCCGGGUAGUC